UCGAGAAUCAUUCGCAAUGGGCGCAAGCCUGACGAUGCGACGCCGUGUGUGUGAUGAAGGCCUUCGGGUCGUAAAGCACUUUCGCUUGGGAACAAGAGAAGUCGGAUAAUACCCGGCUAAUUUGAGGGUACCAGGUAAAGAAGCACCGGCUAACUACGUGCCAGCAGCUGCGGUAAUACGUAGGGUGCAAGCAUUAAUCGGAAUUAUUGGGCGUAUAGGGCGCGUAGGCGGAUCUAUAAGUCGGUUGUGAAAUCCUAGGGCUCAACCUUAGAAUAGCACCCGAAACUAUAGAACUAGAGGGUAGGCGGAGAAAACGGAAUUCCACAAGUAGCGGUGAAAUGCGUAGAUAUGUGGAAGAACAUCGGUGGCGAAGGCGGUUUUCUAGCUUAUUCCUGACGCUGAGGCGCGAAAGCAAGGGGAUCAAACAGGAUUAGAUACCCCCGUAGUCC
This 449-nucleotide ribosomal RNA is filed under the name uncultured bacterium. RNAcentral describes it as "bacterial SSU rRNA". It matches the Rfam family "Bacterial small subunit ribosomal RNA", at positions 355 to 796 of the family's 1533-position model. The record is from RNAcentral.